Hyaena hyaena (striped hyena) is the source of this 519-nucleotide long non-coding RNA. RefSeq lists it as uncharacterized. NCBI's taxonomy places the organism in Eukaryota, Metazoa, Chordata, Mammalia, Carnivora, Hyaenidae. The record is from RefSeq and is a predicted model, not a curated record. The transcript is spliced from 4 exons.
UUCCCUGACAGCUACUGGAGUGCCAGGUGCCUUCCAUACAUCAUCUCAUAUCAAGCUUGCCAGCAACUUGCAAGGUCACCAUCACACCCCCAUCUCAGGAGUAAAGAACUGGGGUCCAUCUUCGCCAAGCUAGAGAGUGGCAGAGAUUGGACCCACCGUCCUGUCCCAAAGGAGGUGUCUCCUCAAAGGAAGAAGAAGACUCAAGCCAUGAGAAGACACAGGACUGAUUCAAGUCUGUGGGAGUUCUUGAGCUUUCUCCAAGAGCUCCCAAUAUUCCACAAAGACCAGUAGUUCUCGGCCCUAAGUAUGAAUUAGAGUCAACUGCGGAAUCUUUAAAAAUGCAGAUGCUCAGGCCCACCUCGUACCUGAAUUUCAAGGAAUAGUUGUGUGCAUUCUGAAGAAGUUCUCCAGAGGCUGCUGCAGGUUUUUAUAAAAAAUUCUCUCUGGCCUCAAAUCUUCCUCCAUGAGUGGAUUUGAUGAUUUGGAAACAACUGAAGUCAUUUGGAAGUAAAUCUGGUG